This 253-nucleotide ribosomal RNA is filed under the name uncultured bacterium. Its description in RNAcentral is "partial 16S ribosomal RNA". It matches the Rfam family "Bacterial small subunit ribosomal RNA", at positions 524 to 776 of the family's 1533-position model. The record is from RNAcentral.
UACGUAGGGUGCGAGCGUUGUCCGGAUUUAUUGGGCGGAAAGAGCUCGUAGGCGGUUUGUCGCGUCGGCCGUGAAAUCUCCACGCUUAACGUGGAGCGUGCGGUCGAUACGGGCAGACUUGAGUUCGGUAGGGGAGACUGGAAUUCCUGGUGUAGCGGUGAAAUGCGCAGAUAUCAGGAGGAACACCGAUGGCGAAGGCAGGUCUCUGGGCAUUAACUGACGCUGAGGAGCGAAAGCAUGGGGAGCGAACAGG